UACGUAGGUGGCAAGCGUUGUCCGGAUUUACUGGGCGUAAAGAGCGCGCAGGCGGUCGUUCAAGUCGCGUGUGAAAGCCCCCGGCUCAACUGGGGAGGGUCACGCGAUACUGAUCGACUCGAAGGCAGGAGAGGGUAGUGGAAUUCCCGGUGUAGUGGUGAAAUGCGCAGAUAUCAGGAAGAACACCGAUGGCGAAGGCAGCUCUCUGGGACGGUACUGACGCUGAGACGCGAAAGCGUGGGGAGCGAACAGG
Molecule: ribosomal RNA, 253 nt
Filed under: uncultured bacterium
Lineage: Bacteria
Description: partial 16S ribosomal RNA
Rfam family: Bacterial small subunit ribosomal RNA
Source: RNAcentral